GGCGGCGUAGCUCAGUUGGUUAGAGCGUGCGACUCAUAAUCGCAAGGUCGAGGGUUCGAAUCCCUCCGCCGCCAUCA
Molecule: transfer RNA, 77 nt
Filed under: Armatimonadota bacterium
Lineage: Bacteria; Bacillati; Armatimonadota
Description: tRNA-Met
Rfam family: tRNA
About the family: Transfer RNA (tRNA) molecules are approximately 80 nucleotides in length.
Source: RNAcentral